GGUGAUGUAUCCCUACAAGCCACGAGCCUUGAUAAACAACAAGCACGACCUUGACCAAGUAAGGUAAUUAUGUCUAUCAAGCUUCACAAGACUAAUUUGCAACAAGGGAUUAUCGAUUGAAAUCACGAGCUUCUCAUCAUUAAACAUAAUGCUGGAAAGAAACAACUAAUACCCAAAAAAGCUACUUGGAAAAUUAGGGGAAAAAAACACCCAAAAAGAACACAAAAGAGAUCCUAAAAAAAGAGAUCCCAAAAAAAACUUAGCAAAAAA
Molecule: long non-coding RNA, 270 nt
Filed under: Gossypium raimondii (Peruvian cotton)
Lineage: Eukaryota; Viridiplantae; Streptophyta; Magnoliopsida; Malvales; Malvaceae
Description: long non-coding RNA (GRAI_LNC001265)
Source: RNAcentral